AUUGAACGCUGGCGGCAGGCUUAACACAUGCAAGUCGAACGAGAGAUGAGGAGCUUGCUCUUCAAAUCGAGUGGCGAACGGGUGAGUAACGCGUGAGGAACCUGCCUCAAAGAGGGGGACAACAGUUGGAAACGACUGCUAAUACCGCAUAAGCCCACGGCUCGGCAUCGAGCAGAGGGAAAAGGAGCAAUCCGCUUUGAGAUGGCCUCGCGUCCGAUUAGCUAGUUGGUGAGGUAACGGCCCACCAAGGCGACGAUCGGUAGCCGGACUGAGAGGUUGAACGGCCACAUUGGGACUGAGACACGGCCCAGACUCCUACGGGAGGCAGCAGUGGGGAAUAUUGCACAAUGGGGGAAACCCUGAUGCAGCGACGCCGCGUGGAGGAAGAAGGUCUUCGGAUUGUAAACUCCUGUUGUUGAGGAAGAUAAUGACGGUACUCAACAAGGAAGUGACGGCUAACUACGUGCCAGCAGCCGCGGUAAAACGUAGGUCACAAGCGUUGUCCGGAAUUACUGGGUGUAAAGGGAGCGCAGGCGGGAGAACAAGUUGGAAGUGAAAUCCAUGGGCUCAACCCAUGAACUGCUUUCAAACUGUUUUUCUUGAGUAGUGCAGAGGUAGGCGGAAUUCCCGGUGUAGCGGUGGAAUGCGUAGAUAUCGGGAGGAACACCAGUGGCGAAGGCGGCCUACUGGGCACCAACUGACGCUGAGGCUCGAAAGUGUGGGUAGCAAACAGGAUUAGAUACCCUGGUAGUCCACACCGUAAACGAUGAUUACUAGGUGUUGGAGGAUUGACCCCUUCAGUGCCGCAGUUAACACAAUAAGUAAUCCACCUGGGGAGUACGACCGCAAGGUUGAAACUCAAAGGAAUUGACGGGGGCCCGCACAAGCAGUGGAGUAUGUGGUUUAAUUCGACGCAACGCGAAGAACCUUACCAAGUCUUGACAUCCCUUGACGAUGCUGGAAACAGUAUUUCUCUUCGGAGCAAGGAGACAGGUGGUGCAUGGUUGUCGUCAGCUCGUGUCGUGAGAUGUUGGGUUAAGUCCCGCAACGAGCGCAACCCUUAUGGUCAGUUACUACGCAAGAGGACUCUGGCCAGACUGCCGUUGACAAAACGGAGGAAGGUGGGGAUGACGUCAAAUCAUCAUGCCCUUUAUGACUUGGGCUACACACGUACUACAAUGGCGUUAAACAAAGAGAAGCAAGACCGCGAGGCGGAGCAAAACUCAGAAACAACGUCCCAGUUCGGACUGCAGGCUGCGAACUCGCCUGCACGAAGUUCGGAAUUGCUAGUAAUCGUGGAUCAGCGUGCCACGGUGAAAUACGUUUCCCGGGCCUU
Molecule: ribosomal RNA, 1336 nt
Filed under: uncultured bacterium
Lineage: Bacteria
Description: bacterial SSU rRNA
Rfam family: Bacterial small subunit ribosomal RNA
Source: RNAcentral